This 170-nucleotide unclassified non-coding RNA is filed under the name uncultured Dothideomycetes. RNAcentral describes it as "sequence contains ITS1". Lineage: Eukaryota; Fungi; Ascomycota; Dothideomycetes. The record is from RNAcentral.
CUGAGUACCGGGGUCUCUGAUCCCUACUCCCAUCCCAUGUUAACCUUCUACUGUUGCUUUGGCGGACCGGUGGUGUUACCGCCGCCGGCCUCUGGGCUGGAGAGUGUCUGCCAGAGGAUCAUCAAACGCUGUUUAAAACGUGGCGUCUGAGUGCAACUUAAUUGAAAUCA